AUGUCCAGCAGUGGACUGUAUAGGCUGUAAUGAUGAAUGGAAGAAUAGCAGUGCAUGCAGAUGAUUUCACCAAUGUCACUUAGAGCUUAAAAAACAUACAACAUACAUGAUACGCGUUUUGACAUGUGCUUCAAAUAUGAGUCAAAGUAAGCUGUCAAAAAAUCAGCAAUUAAUGCUGAAAUUUUAAGCCUGCUCAAAAAUGAGACUAUUUAUAUAAUACUAACUUCGAUGUAUUUUAUUUCACGACAUAAAAAUUCUUGAAACGAUAAACGUCUUUAUAGGUUAUGUCGUUAGUGUCAUUGUAAGUGAUAUUCGUUUGCUAUUUGAAAUAGUAAAAUAGAUAAUAUUGAUUUAUAUUAUAGUUCAACACUAUAGUCAUUAAUUUUAUUUAGUUAUUUAAACAGCAAACAAAAUUACAACGAUUAAUUAUUUUAUUGUAAAAAAUAUAUUUCAAAAUAUAAUACAAAUAAAUCUACACUCAUUUCUCAAAAAAUAUAUAUAAAAAGAAUAAUUUUUAUAUUUCCGAUGUCAAUAAAUUAAAUGGAAUAAAUUGUAAUAGGAAAAUCAACAUGAUAAUAUUAUCAUGUUGAUUUUAAUAUAAAAAUAAACUUAUAAAUAUAUAUAUAUUAUUAAAAUAAACUUAUAAUAAUAUAUAUAUAUAUUUAUAAGUUUAUUUUUAUAAUGCGGACACUAUUAUGUAUCAGCUUUAACUAACGUGUCCCAAGUAAAUGUUUGGCUACUUGGGCUAUAACUUACAACGCAUACAUACAAAAGCGUUAAAAUAUAUUUUAAAAACAUACAAUCUUUGAUUAAUUAAAUUAUAAUAUUGUAAAAAAAUAGCGUCAAUUAUUGUUAAUAUUUAUUAUACACAUUUUUCAAUUACACUACAGCUUAUACAACUAUUUUGAACAUAUUAACAGCAGAUCUGAUCAAAAAGUUCGAAAGCCAAACAGGUAUUAGUAAUGAAAAGAAAUCCUUAUUAUAUUUUUUUAAACUUUAGAAGACAGUUUUUACACUAAUCUUGAAAUCAACCAAUUUAAAAAAUGUAUUUUUUUUAUGUAUAACCUUUUUUCAUAAAGAUGUAGAUUAUCAACAGAACAUCAUUGAUAAUUUUUGAGGUCAAUGUUUUUAGCUUUUUUUAACGAGAAAUCACAAAAUGACGAUUCAAAAGUGCUUUUGAAACCUAAUUUAAAAUAGAAAGUAUGAAUGAUUAACUAAUAGCCUUAAGCAUAGGUAAAAAGAGCUUUAACCGAACUUAAGUUUCAUAAUCUGCCAUUAAAGCAUUUAAAACCCAACAACUUACAUAGAAUUCAUAUAAACAGUUUGUGUAUUUAUUUGUGUGUUUAUCAAAGUUUAUUUGCGUUAAAAAAAUGACUCACCUCUAUCACUAAACUUAGCCACGUUCAUUAAACAAUUAAAUCCUAGUAAAUUCCUGCCUGUCUGAAAGACUUACAUCAACUGGUUAUAUGAACAGUCAGCAGUCAGUCAGCUCAGCCUAUUGCAGUCCACUGCUGGACAUAGGCCUCCCCAAGUUUGCGCCAAACAUUCCGGUUUUCCGCAAUCCUCAUCCAGCCUACACCGGCAAUCUUACGCAGAUCAUCGGUCCAACGGGCUCGUCCAAAUUAGCCACCUUCAAAAAGUUGUAACGUGAACGCCGCGGAAAC
RNAcentral lists this unclassified non-coding RNA (1664 nucleotides) under Melitaea cinxia (Glanville fritillary). RNAcentral describes it as "misc RNA ENSMCXG00005009717.1". Lineage: Eukaryota; Metazoa; Arthropoda; Insecta; Lepidoptera; Nymphalidae. The record is from RNAcentral.